This 305-nucleotide ribosomal RNA is filed under the name uncultured bacterium. RNAcentral's name for it is "bacterial SSU rRNA". It matches the Rfam family "Bacterial small subunit ribosomal RNA", at positions 336 to 658 of the family's 1533-position model. The record is from RNAcentral.
CUCCUACGGGGCGCAGCAGUGGGGAAUAUUGCACAAUGGGGGAAACCCUGAUGCAGUGACGCCGCGUGAGUGAAGAAGUAUUUCGGUAUGCAAAGCUCUAUCAGCAGGGAAGAAAAUGACGGUACCUGACUAAGAAGCCCCGGCUAACUACGUGCCAGCAGCCGCGGUAAUACGUAGGGGGCAAGCGUUAUCCGGAUUUACUGGGUGUAAAGGGAGCGUAGACGGUAGAACAAGUCUGAAGUGAAAGCCCGCGGCUCAACUGCGGGACUGCUUUGGAAACUGUUCAGCUGGAGUGCUGGAGAGGG